GAAUGAAUCAAUUGUAAGAAGAGCACUGAUAAUUAUGCAUCAAAGGGAUGAAGUGGAGUACAAACGAGAACGGAGAGUCGUUGUUCGAAAAGCCUAAAGAGUUUAUAUCACAUAAUUUGAUGCCCUCAAGGAAAUUAAGCAGGAAUAUUUGAAUUGUGGAUUUAAAUACUGCCUCUCAACACCUCUAUACAUUAGUGAACUGCAAGUGUAAAAGGUGUAGGUAUGCACACAUGCACUGUGUCUGGUUUGAGUUAUUUUGAGCAAUCUAA
RNAcentral lists this unclassified non-coding RNA (269 nucleotides) under Hevea brasiliensis (rubber tree). Lineage: Eukaryota; Viridiplantae; Streptophyta; Magnoliopsida; Malpighiales; Euphorbiaceae. The record is from RNAcentral.